GAGUGCGACUGUGUGAGACAAAGGCAAGCAUGUGGCAAAACCAACUGAUCAUCCCGUGCGCUGAGGCCCCUGCCAUCAGACUCAUCGUAGAUGGAGAGCUCUGUCUGAUUCGGCCUCUGGGAAAGAAAGAAUCAAAUUCAUGAAUUAACAGAGUUCAGGGACAAACACAGUGAGUACCCCACGCUUAAAACCAUCACACAUGCCCAAAGGGAAAUGCCCAAGCAGAAAGGGCACAGGUGGAAUCUUGUUGUAACUGUUUAUCAUCGCUGACUGAGCUAGCACUUACAUAUCACUGCAGAGAUAAGGCAUACGUAAACUUACUCUUAUGAGAUAACUGAGUAGCACUUCCCUGGUUCUAGCUCUGGUUAUUAUGCAAUAAACCAACCCAUGUUUGGGGAAAUAACCUAUCUGACCCUGUGUUGUCAGCAUGUGCCAUGUUCCUGCUUUGACCUUUUCUCUUCCCACCAAGGGAAGCAUUCAUGGAUGUUCAAGGCCAGGUGCAUUUGCUUUGCCUCCUUCGCAGUGGCCAUAUUCUGCCCUUGAGUGCGGUUGCAUGCUCCAGCCAACACCAAACAGAGAGCACAGACCUGGCACUGCUCUAUUGGCCUCUGCUGGCUGGGACAACAUUCAUCUCCCAGCUCAGGCCUUGCAGAAAA
RNAcentral lists this long non-coding RNA (656 nucleotides) under Gallus gallus (chicken). RNAcentral's name for it is "long non-coding RNA NONGGAT005410". Lineage: Eukaryota; Metazoa; Chordata; Aves; Galliformes; Phasianidae. The record is from RNAcentral.